AGCAAGCUGCUUCCUGCAUCAGCGCCCUUGUUUUGCUUGUGCUAUUUGUGUCUGCUUCUAACAGCUGGCCCCAGCCUGGCAGCCCCUAGCUCUGAGGAUUAUCCAAUUAUCCCAUUAGCCCAGCAUGUCCUUCCUUCCUCCAGAGCUAUUAGCUCCCCAUCUCCCUCUCCCUCUCUCUCUCCCUGGGCUUGUCCAUAGCCUCCCUUGCUCCUUCCCUAGCCAGGCCUAGAGCUGGGUGGGUCAGCCCACAGUCAAAUAGACUCAGAGAAUACCAGAGCUGGAAGCGAUAUGUAUCCACUGCUUCAUCAUUUUGCAGGGAAGGAAACCCAAAGUCACAUGACCAGUUAAUGGCAGCAGAGAACUAAAACCCAGGUCUCUCGACCCAGUCAGUGUGCCUUACCAAGUGUUGCUAUGCUUCGCCCUAGGAUGGAGGAGAUACCAUCCCCACUCCUCUCUCUGGGAUUCAAAUUUAUAGUCUUGGUAGGAAAAUAGAACAUACACUGGUGAAAACCAGCACAUUAUUCAGGCGUUAAGUCAUAACUUAGCAGCAGAAGAGAUGUCAUCAGAAGCAGGUAACAAACUUCUGGUGCGUGGGACAGGCAUGCAUCUAAAGGCGCUCAGGAAGGGGAAAAGAGGAUUUCAGCAAAGUCUCCCUCCAUCUUCAUGGAAGAGACGGCUCUUCAGGUGGUCCCUGAAGCAUGGGAAUUGUCUAAAGUAGGGGAGUGACAGCAUCCCAGGCAAAGUGGCCUGCCUGAGAGACAAAGGCAGGGAAUGGGGUAAGAGGAUGGUAGACAGUUCAGUUUGGCACAGUGAGGAGCAGGGUAGUGGGUAGGAAAGUGGGUGGUCAGAGACAGGCUGGAGGGCAAAGCUGUGUCCUUGAAUGGCCACAGAAAGAAGGUGGACUUGAUCUGCUGCAUAUUUAGGGUCCACUAAAUGUUUUGGAGCAAGGGAGGGACAUGGCUGAUGCUGUGCUUUGGAGAUAUUAAUCUGACUGCUUGGGCUGAAUAGAUUGCGGUAAAAGAGAUCAACAAAGAGGUCUGUUUGGAGUGUAUUCAGGUUGGUAGAGAUGAUAGUGCCUCCGCCAAGACCAUGACUUUGAGGGGUUACUGAGGGGUAGAGUGGAUGGAACAGAUUCCAAAGAUGUUCAGAAAGAAUUAACAGAAUGCAAUAGAUUGGAUUUGGGAAGAUAAGGAGAAGAGCUCCUACUAAUAGGAUUAGGGAAGUAAGAAGUGGCCACAGGAAGUAUGGGGUAGGAUGGAGGAAGUGGAUGAGGACCCUCCCCAGCUUCACCCUCUGGCACUCCUUGGGUGAGAGCAUUUUGUAAAGUUGGCAGAGUUUGCUUAACCCUGGGCUGCAGGAUGCCUUCUCUACCCUAUGUCUCAGCCCCUCCAGGCUUCUCUGCUGGAUGUCCACAUGUUGACCCAAUAAAUCAUCAUGGUACCCUCCCCAGAUGGCAAAUGUCCUUCACUUGGGGUAAUACUGCUGUCAUCUAAGGAGGAAUUUUUGGCCUUGGGGUGUAUUCUGUUAAUACAGGACUCUGGGCCUCUUUGAUGCCUUUCAAUCCAUACCAGGUAGUUGUCUCCCAGCUAUACUCAUACAUUUGAUGCAGGUAGUGACUUUUUAAUGUAUAUGUUGUCAUUCCCUCCUCCUAAUCCUCUGUCUUAUCCCACAUACCUGCUCUGGGCUUCCAUGAACUGAAAACUGAACUGAAGGCAAUUCUGGCCACAAAAGAUGAGCCAUCUUCACUAGCCUUGUGCCCUCGAAGUACAGAGAAGUCUCCUCAAGGCCCAUAAGGGGGUCCAGGCCUCUUCCAGGCCAGCAAGCACCUGAAUAUCCUGACAUGACUGUCCUUGGAUCACUGAAGACCCAGCCAUGAGUCUCAAAUUGUUGCAUCUUGGUGGCCUUUAACGUGAACUAGUUAUUCUGCUGAAGCUUCUGUGAGCCCAGUUGUGCCUUUUGGAAUAGCACAAUGCAAGCUGUUUCUCUCAUCUGAUCUGUUCACCAUAGCUCUCCCUAAGUCUUCUCCAACCUCAUGUCCUCCAGACAUUUUCAGUUUCUAGAUGCUCCCUGUCUUGAUCCCCUUCCUUUGGCCACUUGUUAAUUCGUUGAGUGUCAUUGGGAGGUUACCGUCUUGUUUGCAGGCACAAAAUGACAAACUCAUUUCAGUUUGUUCAUGAGCAGGUGGUGUUGAGAAAUGAGCAUGUCUCCUGCCUUGAGUGGGUACCUGGUGAGUCCCUGUAGCCUGGGACUCACUUCCUAGUAACUAGGAUGUCAGUGCAGCUUGAGGCUGCAGUUGCUUCUUUCCCAGCCUGUCCCACGGUGUUAGCCAGUGCUCAACUGAGUAACUGUAGUGUCCAUGUUGUUUUGACCUGAACUGAUAGUAGGCUGGGUCUCUCUAUCCUCCCACUCCUCCCUGCACAUUGGCUUUUUCUGAAAUUGAGCAGGCUUUUUUUUGGGUUUUUUUUUUUUUUUUUUUUUUUUUUUUUGAGAUGGAGUCUCGCUGUUGCUCAGGUUGGAGUGCAGUGGCGUGAUCUCAGCUCACUGCAACCUCUGCCUCCCAGGUUCAAGUGAUUCCCUUGCCUGAGCCUCCCGAGUAGCUGGGACUACAGGCAUGCACCACCACA
Molecule: long non-coding RNA, 2624 nt
Filed under: Homo sapiens (human)
Lineage: Eukaryota; Metazoa; Chordata; Mammalia; Primates; Hominidae
Description: HSALNT0276018
Source: RNAcentral